AUUAACCUCCCCCCAUCAGACAUCAGAAUCCGUUCGGAUUCAGGGUCAGGCCCCUCUUCUGGGAUCGGUUCCUCACAAUCUUUCGAUUUGAGCACCUCGAGAUGCCUUCAUCAGGGAACUCAAACUUCCUUGGUUGAUAAUCCUCAAUGGGUUGCGGGGCGAUGUAAACGGACAAUACACUCCCCUCGAUUGCUUUCUGAGAGGUGUACGGAAUAUUGUAUUCAGUCAAUAUCGUUUGCCCUCUCGCAACCCGUCCGGUUAAUGCUGACUUCUCAAACGC
RNAcentral lists this long non-coding RNA (280 nucleotides) under Lathyrus oleraceus (garden pea). Its description in RNAcentral is "Pisum sativum (pea) long non-coding RNA (PSAT_LNC006358)". The record is from RNAcentral. Lineage: Eukaryota; Viridiplantae; Streptophyta; Magnoliopsida; Fabales; Fabaceae.